GAGGGUAUAGUUCAGUGGUAGAGUGCAUGCUUAGAAUGCACGAGGUCCUGGGUUCAAAUCCCAGUACAUCUA
RNAcentral lists this transfer RNA (72 nucleotides) under Camelus bactrianus (Bactrian camel). It matches the Rfam family "tRNA". Rfam says of the family: Transfer RNA (tRNA) molecules are approximately 80 nucleotides in length. RNAcentral also lists the same sequence under 2 other names. Lineage: Eukaryota; Metazoa; Chordata; Mammalia; Artiodactyla; Camelidae. The record is from Rfam by way of RNAcentral.